This 448-nucleotide ribosomal RNA is filed under the name uncultured organism. Its description in RNAcentral is "partial 16S ribosomal RNA". It matches the Rfam family "Bacterial small subunit ribosomal RNA", at positions 331 to 796 of the family's 1533-position model. The record is from RNAcentral.
GUACACUCCUGCGGGAGGCAGCAGUGGGGAAUAUUGGACAAUGGGCGCAAGCCUGAUCCAGCCAUGCCGCGUGAGUGAUGAAGGCCCUAGGGUUGUAAAGCUCUUUCACCGGAGAAGAUAAUGACGGUAUCCGGAGAAGAAGCCCCGGCUAACUUCGUGCCAGCAGCCGCGGUAAUACGAAGGGGGCUAGCGUUGUUCGGAAUUACUGGGCGUAAAGCGCACGUAGGCGGAUCGAUCAGUCAGGGGUGAAAUCCCAGGGCUCAACCCUGGAACUGCCUUUGAUACUGUCGAUCUGGAGUAUGGAAGAGGUGAGUGGAAUUCCGAGUGUAGAGGUGAAAUUCGUAGAUAUUCGGAGGAACACCAGUGGCGAAGGCGGCUCACUGGUCCAUUACUGACGCUGAGGUGCGAAAGCGUGGGGAGCAAACAGGAUUAGAUACCCUAGUAGUCC